Molecule: long non-coding RNA, 279 nt
Filed under: Lathyrus oleraceus (garden pea)
Lineage: Eukaryota; Viridiplantae; Streptophyta; Magnoliopsida; Fabales; Fabaceae
Description: Pisum sativum (pea) long non-coding RNA (PSAT_LNC015677)
Source: RNAcentral
UUGUUUUUGCUGUUUUGCCGUUCGGCAGCUUGUGACAGUUUUUCUUCUUUUGAUCAUAAUCUCUUUGGGAAAAUCCUUACUCAUUUUUUCUUUGAAUCCUGCAGGUUUCACUCAUGAUACCAAGUUUACUGCUUCUGGAAGUGUUUUGGUGAAGAGAGUGCAUGGAGUUGUCGUGGUCAACUGUCAUGAUGUUUUAAGCUUAUAUACUUUUUUAUUGUAAUGUCCUCAAGUCUUUAGAUCAUAGGCCAUGGCUGUGUGUAAAUCAUGAGGUCUACCAAU